UUCCAGCAAAGCAAUUAAAGGUAAACUAAUAUCUCUUUCCCGCAGAUAGCCUGGGAACUCCAAGAUGUGAUAGAAAAGGAGCAAGUCAGCAAAAGGAGGAAAUCAAAGCUACAGAGAUCAAGAGCUAAUGAACUGAUUCUUGUGCAUCCUUCCUCUAACCCAACCUCUCCCCAGCUACCAGGGUGGACCUUUAAAGGCAGAAGUCUGACCAUGUCACUCCCCUGUUUAUAAACCUUCAUGACUCUUCAACGUCCAAGCUUCAUCACCCACCACUACAUCCCCACGUUGCAAGCAAAGACUUUCCAACUUUUGGCCCAGUAGUAGCUGCUUCCCAAAGAUGGCCCCCCAUGAGCCUGCCUCUUGGUAGGCACACCUUGCCCAGUUCCAAUCCACAUUGACUAUGGGCUUGGCCUUGUGACUCAUAUUUACCAGCAGAACAUGACAGAAGUGAUGCCAUUUCCAAACUUAAGCCCUAAAGAAGGUCUGACAGCACGUACUUCUGUGCCUUUGAGAGCUCUGAUACACAUGCCCCGAUUCCCUGCUGGAGAGGCCACGUGGAGAGUGAGAAGCCCUGAAACUACAUAAGAAGAGACAGUGACUCAGCUACCUCAACAUCUCAGCUGAGCACAGCCUGUCAAGUGUCCCUGCCAAGUCACCAUCUGAGAUGUUACAGAUGUUACCUGCAUCUGACUACAGUUACUUGUGAGAUCCCAAGUGAGACCAGCAGAAGAACCAUCCAGCUAAGCCCCA
Herpailurus yagouaroundi (jaguarundi) is the source of this 750-nucleotide long non-coding RNA. RefSeq lists it as uncharacterized. The transcript has 3 exons. The record is from RefSeq and is a predicted model, not a curated record. NCBI's taxonomy places the organism in Eukaryota, Metazoa, Chordata, Mammalia, Carnivora, Felidae.